Molecule: non-coding RNA, 1335 nt
Organism: Sturnus vulgaris (Common starling)
Lineage: Eukaryota; Metazoa; Chordata; Aves; Passeriformes; Sturnidae
Source: RefSeq, a predicted model, not a curated record
GGGGCCAGGGGUGCAGCCAGUGCCCAGGAGUUGUGUCCCUGCAGGUGUGGGAUGCCCUGGAUCAGUGGGAUGUGAGCUCUGGCCUCAGGUGUCCCUGCAGGUGUGGCAAGGCUGUGAUGGACCUGGGAGUCCUGUCCCUGCCAGGUGCUGCCUGUGGCCCUGGACAGCUCAUUCCAUCUCUGCUCCAUGCUUUCCCCAUGGCACAAUUACCAACAAUCUCCCAGUGCUCAGUGUUGGGGAGCAGACUGCUGGGAGAAGGCUGAAAUCUCUGAAUGAGGCAGAGGAUGAGGGAAUGUCCUUCACCAUUAUUUCUCCAGGCAGGGAAACAUUCCCAGUCACCACAUCUUCACCCAUGCCAGCACAUUGUCCCAUUAUCCCCCUAGCUGUGGGUGCCUCUGCCCUCAGGUGCUGGGAUCUGUCCUGGCCUUGUUCCCAGUCCCUGGUUUGGAUGUUCCCCCCCUCCCUGCCCCUGUGUCUCAGAGCUGAGCAGCCCCAGGCACAUUCUGGAGUCUGGAACACCGAGGGGGAAAUUCCUGCACCUGCUCCACAAUGGAAGAUGAAAGAGCAGCAUCUCAGUUAAUUCCGUAAUGGUUGGUUGGGGUGAUGAGAAGCAGAGUAAUUAAUUAACUCCUACCAGUGGGAGCUCAGUUGCAGCUGUCCCAGUUGGACUGGUAAAAGCUGGGAAUGCUGCUGGUCCUGCUUCCAUUGCCUCCCUGACUCUGCAGGAGGGAAGGCUCAUCCUGCCAGCCUGGGGCUCGUGUCCUGUGUCCUGAAAAGCUGUUUAAAUGGGAUUUAUUUCCACCUGGGGCCCACGACACAUGGAAUUAACUCCUGCCCAGGACAAAUCCUGAGUCCCUGCAGACCCCCUGAGACUGCAGAGGGAAGCAGGAUCCGGUGUGGGGAGGGAAGGGGCCGGUGCCAGAGGUUGUUAGGAGGGAAUGAGGGGGGUCAGAGCCCAGCCGGGCACCCCUGGGUGCCAACAGGACUGUCCCACCCUGCUGCCCUGGCAAAGCCCGGCUGGUGAUGCAGGAGAAGGAGUCAGAGCCUCCCCCCUGGGAUUUGCUCCAGCUGCAGCACAGCACGCAGCUCCCCCCACCAUCCAUCCCUGCUCAGCCCAGCAGCAGAAAUGCAGAGCUGGGUGCCCAGAGAUGAGGUUUUGUCGCUGUUAAUUGUUUUAUCCGACUGCAUCACCAGCAGAUCCUGCUCUGAUGCACCCCAAAAGCUGCGGGGCCGAUGGAUUGCUGCUCCUCCCUGACACCCCCGCUCCUGGAGCCUUUCGUGCAUCCCUGCAGCUCCACUGCCACGGGGGGGGCUCAGAAAGGCCUCCCAGCAGCA